UAUAUGUUCAUUUAUUAAGAA
RNAcentral lists this non-coding RNA (21 nucleotides) under Caenorhabditis elegans. The record is from RNAcentral. Lineage: Eukaryota; Metazoa; Nematoda; Chromadorea; Rhabditida; Rhabditidae.